This 371-nucleotide unclassified non-coding RNA is filed under the name soil metagenome. Its description in RNAcentral is "partial contains 5.8S ribosomal RNA, internal transcribed spacer 2, and large subunit ribosomal RNA". The stretch from base 1 to 120 matches the Rfam family "5.8S ribosomal RNA", at positions 35 to 154 of the family's 154-position model. The record is from RNAcentral.
GAUGAAGAACGUAGCGAAAUGCGAUAAGUAGUGUGAAUUGCAGAAUUCAGUGAAUCAUCGAAUCUUUGAACGCACAUUGCGCCCGCCAGUAUUCUGGCGGGCAUGCCUGUUCGAGCGUCAUUUCAACCCUCAGGCCCCCAGUGCCUGGCGUUGGGGAUCGGCGUGGGCGGCGAACGGCUCUCCGGAGCCCGAGCCAAUGCCUGCCGGCCCCGAAAUUCAGUGGCGGUCUCGCUGUAGUCCCCCUCUGCGUAGUAGCACAACUCGCAUUGGAGCUCGGCGGUGGCCAUGCCGUAAAACACCCCACUUCUGAAAGUUGACCUCGGAUCAGGUAGGAAUACCCGCUGAACUUAAGCAUAUCAAUAAGCGGAGGA